AACGAACGCUGGCGGCAGGCUUAACACAUGCAAGUCGAGCGCAUCCUUCGGGGUGAGCGGCAGACGGGUGAGUAACGCGUGGGAACGUACCCUUUCCUACGGAAUAGCUCCGGGAAACUGGAAUUAAUACCGUAUACGCCCUUAGGGGGAAAGAUUUAUCGGGGAAGGAUCGGCCCGCGUUGGAUUAGCUAGUUGGUGGGGUAAAGGCCUACCAAGGCGACGAUCCAUAGCUGGUCUGAGAGGAUGAUCAGCCACAUUGGGACUGAGACAUGGCCCAAACUCCUACGGGAGGCAGCAGUGGGGAAUAUUGGACAAUGGGUGCAAGCCUGAUCCAGCCAUGCCGCGUGAGUGAUGAAGGCCUUAGGGUUGUAAAGCUCUUUCAGUAGGGAAGAUAAUGACGGUACCUACAGAAGAAGCCCCGGCUAACUUCGUGCCAGCAGCCGCCGUAA
RNAcentral lists this ribosomal RNA (449 nucleotides) under uncultured bacterium. RNAcentral's name for it is "partial 16S ribosomal RNA". It matches the Rfam family "Bacterial small subunit ribosomal RNA", at positions 29 to 523 of the family's 1533-position model. The record is from RNAcentral.